This 210-nucleotide long non-coding RNA is filed under the name Helianthus annuus (common sunflower). RNAcentral's name for it is "hypothetical non coding rna". Lineage: Eukaryota; Viridiplantae; Streptophyta; Magnoliopsida; Asterales; Asteraceae. The record is from RNAcentral.
UUUGGUACCAUCACUACUCAUUUUUUCCAACUUUGACCUUAUCGAAGAUCAUUCUUGUUUUUCAUUUGUGUUCAAGAUACAGUGUACAUUUCUUUUUUUCUUUUGGGGUGGGGGGUAUUGCAUAGAAUAUUCUGACAAAUGUAUUAUUGUUAUUAUAUCAUCAUUAUUAUUCAAAAAAAAAAUCGUCCAGUUAUUGCUCUCAACUGUUAG